Long non-coding RNA from Mustela erminea (ermine), 2938 nucleotides. RefSeq lists it as uncharacterized. NCBI's taxonomy places the organism in Eukaryota, Metazoa, Chordata, Mammalia, Carnivora, Mustelidae. The transcript is spliced from 3 exons. The record is from RefSeq and is a predicted model, not a curated record.
AGGACCCUGGGAUCACGACCUGAGCCCAAGGCAGAGGCUUAACCAACUGAGCCACCCAGGCGCCCAUCAAAGAAUUUUCUUACCACAUGUCCCUCUGCUCUGAGGCCAACACCAGGAUGGGUUUGCAAGUCUCUGCAGGUCACUACAGGAGGCAGAGAUGCAGAUGUCUUCUUCUGAAAGAAUUCACCUCUACAGACUUAAGACUGCUUGCUGGAAACAUCCGCGAAUUCUCUGAGAAGACCCAAGGGAAGACCAGAAGUGUUUGCAAGUGAAUCCUAGGGGAGCAUUUCUCAGCCACCGACCGUGUGGAGAUGCUGAGGGACACUCCAGCUCCUCAUCCUUCGGCUUCUGUGUUCCACGCUGACUCUGCGUGGGCCACAGCAGAGUGCGUUCCAGAUACCCACCAUGGCAAACUGGCUGAUAAUACUGGCUUUACCUUCUUCCUGUCUUUCUCGCUUCUCUACUCAUGUGUUCUGGGUUUGCCCUCAAAUAAACUGCUUGUGCUCAGAUCCUUGUCAGGGAGCUCACCCUGAGACACAUUUACUGCCCUUGCUCAUUGACAGUCAACACUAGCUGGUGCUCACUGGAGAUGCCCCAGGGAAUCUGCAGGGUUCCGUCAUGCUCCUGCCUGUUUCCAGGUUGGAUUUGAAACCUAAGGUCUCCAAGAAUAUCAGUAUCAAUCAGCCGCACUCUGAGAGUUACUCCUUCACCUGCUGGCUGUUAAGGAGCUCCCUGACCAAGUGGUGACUGCAACCUUCAGUUUUGUGGAGUUCUUACUGAUGUCUCCCUCCCCUGCAAAGAGCCAGUACCUCUGACCUUUCAGAUUCCAGAUUUGGGGGCUAAGUUCCACAAGUAGGUCAUUGAGUAUGAUCAUGGAAGGGGCUGCUUUUGAUUCCACUCCUUGCUUACUGGAGUGGACUGUUUUUCUUGUCAUCAGAGACUAAAGUAUGUUGGCUGUUGGCUCAGUUCUAGCCAUUGAAAACCAGACUGUAACUUGAUUCAAUGCACAUGCUGCAUUCUUGAGAUGAGCUCCCUAACUUCACAUGUGCUGAACUCCGUUUGGCAGAUCAGCCAAGCUUUGACAAGCUGCCCCAUUCCAUCAGAUUGGCCGCUUUGGUUGAUGGUUCCAUAGUAAGACCAAGGAAUCCUGUGGCCACAAGCCCACUAACACACCACCAUUGCUAUAAAUGAGUUCCUUAUUCGGAGGCUGCCUUGGGAAAUGCAGGCUGCCUAUUGUGCCCCCUCCACCUCAACCCCUAGCCUCAAAUGGAUGGGCUGCUUAUGGAGAAGACAACCCUUGGAGAAGCAGGAGAACUACCUAUCUAUAUCCAGGAGUGAUUAGGGAGAAAGGCAGUUGGUCAUUUGCAUUCUGAGGAGACUAGACUCUAUUAUGACAUGUAAGCACUCUCAGAGAAUCCCCAGAAAUAUUUGUAAAGUAACUAUUUUCCUGUUCACAGGAUUGAAGCUUUGGUCUAAUUUGUUUGUAUAUUAAGAAAAGGGCAUGCUUAAAGGGCUGGUUAAUUUGGAAACACUCAGAUUCCAUAGGAAACGGAUAAAAGCAGAGAUGCUCUGGCCAGAGAGAGACUCCUGGCUUCCAUGAAGGGGUUCUCUGAGCCCACAGGAUAUUAGCACUGUAUUUUGCAGAUGAUCAAUAAAGGUUGGCUGGAUGAAAGAUUAAACAAAUGAAUGAUCUGUGAUCAACCACGUAAGGUCCUCUGUUUAAAGACAAGGACUGAAAGAUUUGUCAGAGCCAAAAUAACUGAGAAAAUGAAGUAUUUGGACAACUGUGCCAUUAGACAAGUUGUUUGGGUACAAAGAAAAAAAUUUUUCCAGAUAAUGCCAAAAUGAUCAUCUCAUUUCAGCAUUAUGAAAAUACAUCCAGCUGGCUAUGUUAUCCAGAAAAGCGAUCAAAUGGUCAUCUGGAUUAUUUGUCUUCAUACCAAGUAAGCAGGAUUUUAAAAACUUGUCAUCUCAUUUUUCAAUUAGCUGAGAAAAUGAGUUGUCUGCUUCAGUGUGUUAGCCUGAAUAAUAGAACUACGUUCUUUUAGGCAAAUUAUCUAUUAAAUCCACACAGUUAAAAAUUAUGUGUGCAUGUGUCUAUUUAUUAUGGGAACAAAAAAGGGACUGGAAUGGAUAAGAUAAUGUACAUCUAAAAAGUUAGAAAACAGAAUUGUCUGGGUGAGCUAGAGCUGUUCAUUUUCAUUUUACGAUAAGUAAAAGAAAGCCUUGUUAGAGUUUAAAUUCAUGAGCAUUGGUUUUGGAAAGGAAAAUAAUAAAUAGUGAGUCUUAUAGGAUAUAGGACAGUCUUAUAGGAUAUAGGACAGCUCAGGAGCCCCAGAUGUCACCCUCCUGGGGAAGAAUUCCAUCAUGGUGGGGUUGGGCUGAUCUACAGGACUCUGGGCAGUGUUUUGAUUGGUUUGGACCCUUGCCUCUAUGGUAUAAACCUAGAGAAUAAGAGAAGAAAUAAUUAGUUCUUUGAUCACUUAUCAGGACUCUAAAUAUCCUUCUCUCCAGAUCUAAGUUUUAAAACUUUUACUCAAUUCGCUAUUCAUUGACUUCCUACCAUAUGCCAGGCAUUGUGUUGGGCAUACACAUGGGGUACAUCAGUGAACAAAGAGCAUAGUUUCUGCCUUUAUGGAGCAUAGAUUAGAAGGUUGUGAGCAGCAUGUGCAUACAUAAAUACAGACUAUGCUAUGAAGGAACUAUGUGAUGUUCUAAGUACGUGAUGUACUGUGUGUAGAAGUUGGGGAUGUUGCGGGAUAGGGUGUGGUAGUCAGAGAAGUCUUUUUUGAAGACAUGACAAUUGACCUGAGAUCUUAAGGGUAACUGCCUUUAUUAUAAAGACUUUGCCAUAUGAUCAAGUAGUUCUCCUUCUGGGUAUAUAUCCAAAGGAAACAACAACAGGAUAUUGAAGAGAUAUCUGCACCCCUAUGUUCGC